This 1173-nucleotide long non-coding RNA is filed under the name Vombatus ursinus (common wombat). RNAcentral's name for it is "lncRNA (ENSVURG00010011409.1)". The record is from RNAcentral. Lineage: Eukaryota; Metazoa; Chordata; Mammalia; Diprotodontia; Vombatidae.
AUGGAUGGAUUCCCCGGACCCUACUUUCCUGCCCCCGUACCACACGUGCUGCAUAACGCCACCCUGCAGACGCAACUCCACCUGUGGAAGGCCGCCGCUGCUUUCGGAGAGGUCAUCCACAUGACGGACAAUUCCGCCCCUUUAGCGGAUAAUGCCACGAUCAACCGAGCGUGGUUUGACCGCCUCUUUAAAGAAGGAUACACAUGCACCGAACACCUUCACAAGGGACACUGCAACAACUUCACAAUUCAUACACAAACUGUCCGAAAUAUGGACAUGUUCCUCCUCUGUGAGAAUGCCACCAUAACUAACACCUCCCUUGGGCUUAACGUGACUUGCCCAAAUGGGGGGAAGCUCACCAACACACUCAUGUCCAUCAACAUAACUAAUGAGACCCGGGUGUUCGUGCUCACGACACCCCCUCUGACCUUCUUGCCGGUAGGAACGGACAAGCCUUUUGCCGACUCGGAUUUCUUUCGGGCUGUCCUGAACCGGGGUAAGAGGGGCUUUGAAGUGACUGCUGUGGACUUCAUUGGGCUAGUGGCCAGUCUGAUAGAACAAGUGGAGAUUAGCACCCUCUACAAGCGAGUAGGCCUAGUCGAAGAUAAUCUUAGGGAUUUUAUGCAGCUCACAACCAAGGCCUGGAUUGCCCAACAAGACAUUAAUAAAUUGGUGACCAUAGAAUUGUCGGCCCUUACAUCGGCCGUGCAAGCCUUAGCCACCCUCAUACAGGUUAACUCCGUGCUAGAGGGCCUCCCUUGCCAUCAUGUACUACCCAGGCCAAUGUGCAUGACGGCCGCCGUGCACAACGCAUCCAGGGAGCUGGAUGAGGCAAUCCGGACCUUGAAUGAGCAUAGCAAUGUGUCUGACUAUCUCAGACGCCUAGAAGAUAUAGUACUACAGAUAAAGAAUGAGACAGACCAAUAUAAGCAGCAGAUACAAAAGGACCAUGGCAUUCUCCCCGAGUGGUUUAACCAGCUUGAAUUGUCUAAUUGGCUUAAUUAUGUACUGAGUAUGGGAAGCAUGGUUUUCUUUCUCUUGGUCAUGUGUAUAUGCCUCCCCUGCUUGCUAUCUUACGUGGUACGGCUUUGGCGUAUGGUCUUAGAGCAAGUAAAAGCGGAUAUAUUCCUGCGUAAACAAAAAGGGGGAGUUGUUAGGGGCGGUCGGCCCUAG